GAUGAACGCUGGCGGCGUGCCUAAUACAUGCAAGUCGAGCGAACAGACGAGGAGCUUGCUCCUCUGACGUUAGCGGCGGACGGGUGAGUAACACGUGGAUAACCUACCUAUAAGACUGGGAUAACUUCGGGAAACCGGAGCUAAUACCGGAUAAUAUAUUGAACCGCAUGGUUCAAUAGUGAAAGACGGUUUUGCUGUCACUUAUAGAUGGAUCCGCGCCGCAUUAGCUAGUUGGUAAGGUAACGGCUUACCAAGGCAACGAUGCGUAGCCGACCUGAGAGGGUGAUCGGCCACACUGGAACUGAGACACGGUCCAGACUCCUACGGGAGGCAGCAGAAGGGAAUCUUCCGCAAUGGGCGAAAGCCUGACGGAGCAACGCCGCGUGAGUGAUGAAGGUCUUCGGAUCGUAAAACGCUGUUAUUAGGGAAGAACAAAUGUGUAAGUAACUAUGCACGUCUUGACGGUACCUAAUCAGAAAGCCACGGCUAACUACGU
RNAcentral lists this ribosomal RNA (496 nucleotides) under uncultured bacterium. Its description in RNAcentral is "partial 16S ribosomal RNA". It matches the Rfam family "Bacterial small subunit ribosomal RNA", at positions 28 to 506 of the family's 1533-position model. The record is from RNAcentral.